This 88-nucleotide transfer RNA is filed under the name Actinoplanes sp. NBRC 103695. Its description in RNAcentral is "tRNA-Asp". Lineage: Bacteria; Bacillati; Actinomycetota; Actinomycetes; Micromonosporales; Micromonosporaceae. The record is from RNAcentral.
CCAGCCGUUGGUCGGGUUGCUGGUGCGGUGGCCGUCGACCGCCUGGCCCGGCGCGAACGUCGCGGCCGUGCUGGUCGCCCCGGCCGUC